Centruroides sculpturatus (bark scorpion) is the source of this 1826-nucleotide long non-coding RNA. RefSeq lists it as uncharacterized. The record is from RefSeq and is a predicted model, not a curated record. Lineage: Eukaryota; Metazoa; Arthropoda; Arachnida; Scorpiones; Buthidae. The transcript is spliced from 5 exons.
UAUAGGUUUUAAGGCGAAAUUUCUCGACCAAAUUAUAGUUAAUCGACAGCAAUUCCCUUAAUUAAAUAUAAAGCUUUUGAUUCUCGGAUACUUCUACAAGUAUCGAAAGAUCGCCAUCGAUAUUAAACUAAAACCGUUAUAAAUAUGCUGAAUAAUUAGCAAAAUAGCCGAAGAAGAAAACGAUAAAUCUUAUAUUGUGAAGUAAUGUAAAAUUCGUAGAGGAAAUCGAAUUCGGCAAAGUAAAAUACCGAAAUUUCUUGAACGUUUUUGUGUCUUACAAUGUUUAUACUGUAAUUUCCGCGGUAAAGAAAGACUGUAAUUACUCAUAAGCCGCACAGAUUCGUUCAGUUUAUAGUUGAAUGUGAAAUUUUAUGAGGGAUUAAAUGAAAACUUUCUUUACAGUAUAAUAAAUUCUCUGUUUUCUUUCAAAAUACUCUUUGGCAAACAUUUGUAUAUUUAAUUUCAAAAUCAAAAGAAACCCCUCGAUAAUAAAUAUUAAUUGUGUUACAAAUUUUCUCUGUUUAUAUUUAGGGAGAGAUUGGAUACGCGCGGAUUCGUCCAUCGAAACAAUACGGAUCAUUUUAGAUUGCGCGCGAAGAGGAAGAAAGGCCUCCUACGGCGGGACGAAUCGGUACAAUGUACUGCCGAAUGUCCUAACGUAUUUGACAAUAACAUCAAAUCCGCUUGUACAAAGGCGUUGAAUAAGGUUCGACCUUUGUAUCGGAGAAUGUGCGAUCGCUUCGAGAGUGAGAGAUUGGUCGAAGAUACUUUUGAAAAUAACGUGGAAUAUCGCGAGAAAAGUCCGUUGAAGAAGGUUGGAUCUUUCUUUAAAUCGAUGUGGAAGCCGGUUAAGAGAACCGUGCGUAAGUGGAGAGAGGGUGAAGAAUCCGAGUAUGCUCGGUUGGAGUAAGAUCUCUGUCGAUAUCCGAAGAGAUUUAUUUCUGGUUUGGUCCGAGUUCGUCUUGGAUCUUGGAAGAGAUUCGGAGAUUUCGGUCUCUUUCUAUUUGUUUUUCAUUGUUUUGUUUAUUUGUUUCUUAUAUGUCUUUGUCGUUCGGUAUCGUUGUUGUACGCCUUUCGUUCUGUAUUUUAGAAAUUUAAAGUUAAAAAACAAAUUAAAAGAAUUGAGGAAUUUAAAAAAUUGUGUCUCUACGAUAAUGUCUUUCACCGAAUUUGACCUCUCACCGAUUUUGACUCGUCUGAACGUGCUUAUUUUCUGAUUUCGACUCUCCAGAAUUGUGACUACUUUUGAACUUUGACUACCGAAUGAUCUAUCCACUAAUUUUGACUCCCAAAUUGUGUCAAUACUCGAAUUUCGACUCUCGAUUUUGUCUAUUUACUAAUUUUGACUUUCGAAUUAUGUCUAUACUCGAAUUUUGACGCUUCCUAUUAAUUUCUUCACUCGAUCUGUGUCGAAUCCCGAUCGAAAUCUGCUGAGAAUUGCAUCGAAAACGAAAAUAUAAGUUAAUCCUCGGCAACGUUAACUGUAUACUACGUCCAUAGAAUUUAUUGAAUGUCUGAUGAACACGAGAACACACGGAAAAACAAGACGGGAGAAAGGAAAUAAUUUACCAAAUACAAAUGCGUAUGGAAAUUUUUGAGAUAAAAUCCUUGUUCAAUGAAAUGUAUUCCGAAUUGACGGAAUUGGUACACGAAAAUUUUCGUAAAGAAAAAACUGGGAUUGGUUCGAACUAAAUUUAAAUUUAAAAUAGACGUGAUUCGAUCGAAGUCCUUGGAGGAAAUAUUCUCCCAAAAGUAUUGUCUGGUAUCAAUUAGUACAUUUAUCGUCUUGUGAUGCGAAUGCCAAUAGAAUCAUUCUCUUUGUAAAC